This 292-nucleotide ribosomal RNA is filed under the name uncultured bacterium. RNAcentral describes it as "partial 16S ribosomal RNA". It matches the Rfam family "Bacterial small subunit ribosomal RNA", at positions 505 to 796 of the family's 1533-position model. The record is from RNAcentral.
GUGUCAGCAGCCGCGGUAAUACGGGGGGGGCAAGCGUUGUUCGGAAUUACUGGGCGUAAAGGGUUUGUAGGUGGCCCGCUAAGUCACACGUGAAAUCCCUCAGCUUAACUGGGGAACUGCGUGUGAGACUGGCAGGCUCGAGGGCAGGAGAGGAACGCGGAAUUCCAGGUGUAGCGGUGAAAUGCGUAGAUAUCUGGAGGAACACCGGUGGCGAAGGCGGCGUUCUGGACUGUCUCUGACACUGAAGAACGAAAGCCAGGGGAGCAAACGGGAUUAGAAACCCUCGUAGUCC